UCAAACUUGGUCAUUUAGAGGAAGUAAAAGUCGUAACAAGGUUUCCGUAGGUGAACCUGCGGAAGGAUCAUUAAUGAUUUUUUAAGCAAACCUUUUUUUUUUAAAAGGGAAAGGUUUUGCGAAUAAUAUUUAAAACCCCCACUCUUUAAAAAUAAGAUUUUCUAUUCAUAUUCAUGAAUAAAAAAAGAUCACUUUCAACAACGGAUCUCUUGGCUCUCGCAUCGAUGAAGAACGCAGC
This 238-nucleotide unclassified non-coding RNA is filed under the name uncultured fungus. Its description in RNAcentral is "partial contains small subunit ribosomal RNA, internal transcribed spacer 1, and 5.8S ribosomal RNA". The stretch from base 1 to 73 matches the Rfam family "Eukaryotic small subunit ribosomal RNA", at positions 1759 to 1831 of the family's 1831-position model. Lineage: Eukaryota; Fungi. The record is from RNAcentral.